RNAcentral lists this ribosomal RNA (1210 nucleotides) under metagenome. RNAcentral describes it as "bacterial SSU rRNA". It matches the Rfam family "Bacterial small subunit ribosomal RNA", at positions 310 to 1520 of the family's 1533-position model. The record is from RNAcentral.
ACACUGGGACUGAGAUACGGCCCAGACUCCUACGGGAGGCAGCAGUGGGGAAUAUUGGACAAUGGGCGAAAGCCUGAUCCAGCAAUGCCGCGUGUGUGAUGAAGGCCCUAGGGUUGUAAAGCACUGUCGGGAGGGACGAAUUGCUUGGUGUAACGACCAAGUUUGACGGUACCUCCAAAGGAAGCACCGGCUAACUCUGUGCCAGCAGCCGCGGUAAUACAGAGGGUGCAAGCGUUGUUCGGAAUCACUGGGCGUAAAGCGCGUGUAGGCGGCGUCGUAAGUCUAAUGUGAAAGCCCUCGGCUCAACCGAGGAAGUGCAUUAGAUACUGCGGCGCUCGAGUCCCGGAGGGGGUGGUGGAAUUCCAAGCGUAGAGGUGAAAUUCGUAGAUGUUUGGAGGAACACCGGUGGCGAAGGCGACCACCUGGACGGGUACUGACGCUGAGACGCGAAAGCGAGGGGAGCAAACAGGAUUAGAUACCCUGGUAGUCCACGCCGUAAACGAUGAGUGCUAGACGUUGCGGGUAUUGACCCCUGCGGUGUCAAAGCUAACGCAUUAAGCACUCCGCCUGGGGAGUACGGUCGCAAGAUUAAAACUCAAAGGAAUUGACGGGGGCCCGCACAAGCGGUGGAGCAUGUGGUUUAAUUCGACCACGCGCAGAACCUUACCUGGGUUUAAACUGCAGUAGACCGGUACAGAGAUGUACUUUCCCUUCGGGGCUGCUGUGGAGGUGCUGCAUGGCUGUCGUCAGCUCGUGUCGUGAGAUGUUGGGUUAAGUCCCGCAACGAGCGCAACCCUUGCCGAUAGUUGCCAGCGGUUCGGCCGGGCACUCUAUUGGGACUGCCGGUGUUAAACCGGAGGAAGGUGGGGAUGACGUCAAGUCCUCAUGGCCCUUAUGCCCAGGGCUACACACGUGCUACAAUGGGCAGUACAGAGGGACGCGAAGCCGCGAGGUGGAGCCAAUCUCAGAAAGCUGUCCUCAGUUCGGAUUGCAGUCUGCAACUCGACUGCAUGAAGUCGGAAUCGCUAGUAAUCGCGGAUCAGCACGCCGCGGUGAAUACGUUCCCGGGCCUUGUACACACCGCCCGUCACACCAUGGGAGUCAGUUAGUCCAGAAGCGCUUGAGCUAACCUUCGGGAGGCAGGGUGCCAAGGACUGGCUGGUAACUGGGGUGAAGUCGGAACAAGGUAGCCGUAGGGGACCUGCGGCUG